Molecule: long non-coding RNA, 908 nt
Filed under: Anser cygnoides (Swan goose)
Lineage: Eukaryota; Metazoa; Chordata; Aves; Anseriformes; Anatidae
Description: lncRNA (ENSACDG00005003771.1)
Source: RNAcentral
GUGACCUGGAACAAUUAAAAGAUGGAUAUGGCAUGAGAAAUACAAGAAAUCCAGAAUAAGGAAUUUUUCAGCAACUUAUAAAGUAUUAUCUUAACACUGAGAAUAAUAAUUUCCUUUAAAAUUCAUCAGCUGCUAGCAAGUGUCCAGAAGACAACACAGAAUUCCCUCCUCUCUCUUCAUUGCCCUCCAGGACCACUCUCCUCAAGCACGAGUCCUUUGUACAAAGAUUUAGGUUGAGAAGCCUACACUCGCAAUCAUAAGAAAAUCAGAUAAAUAGGAAUGGAAUUAACCCAUGAAUUAAUUAUUUGGUAAUACUGUCUUCUAGAUUAAUGUCUCUUGGAUUAUCUGAUGAAUGCUGCAGUUAACUAACUUUCUUUUGAUCCUCCUACUGGGAAAAAUAGAAAGGAUGAGAUGGCGGGGGUGGAAAGAUAAUUACGCUCGAGAAGCUGAGAGCAUCUUAUCCAUACUAGGAAGGUUAAACUCAAGUAGUUCCUUCUCAAAACUCCUACUACCAUGUGGGGAUGCCAGUGUGAAGUUGUUCAGCCAGUUUCAAUUUAGUAAGUGUUCUCAUGCUCUUGCGACACCUGGCAUAUGGUAAAUGCAUUGAGACUUGUAAAAAACAGUGAUUCAUGGUUAAUCAUUCAGAAAAGAGUCAGAGAUUCAAGGUAACCUUGUAUUUCUGCAAAAAAAAAAAAAAGUUUAUCUACACCCCAAUUUUUAUCUGUUUUAUGAGGCAGAAAUUGCAGGUGAGAUUGAGAAUAGAAUCUGGACCCUCAUUCAUUUUACAAAAUUUUGCACCACCAAUGAAGAAAUCAAGAAGACAAGCCAGCCAAAGUGAGGUUGACCCUGUGGAAGAAGCGUGGCUCUUAAAAGACACAGAAACGGCAGGCAUAACACAUAGAGAUUAG